CACCAAGGUCACGGCCACCGCACACCCGGGCUCCUCUGGCGGUCAAGGCCUCUGCAGUGGGAGACCCCUGGGCGCAGCAUUGGUGGUGAGAUGGCUUGCUGCCCCUGGAAACAACCCCAGGACCCGGCACCCUGGAUACCUGCCCAGCCUGUCACGUGGACAAUGUCCAACACGGGGGAAACGGUCAACAGCGAGACAGAGCUGAUCUCAACACGAGUUGCCAGGAUUCACGGCUGUCUGCGCCUGCUUUCCAAGCAGUAUUUCUGUGUUACUUCGUCUGAUGUUCUCAACAGUCUCAUCAAGAUACAGUCCCCGGGGCCAGUGGUGUGGUACAGCGGGUGAAGCCGCUGCCUGCAACACCGGCAUCCCACACUGGAGCCCCAGUUCGAGUCCCGGCUGCUCCGCUUCCGAUCCAGCUCCCUGCUAAUGUGCCUGGGAAAGCAGCGGAAGAUG
Molecule: long non-coding RNA, 453 nt
Organism: Lepus europaeus (European hare)
Lineage: Eukaryota; Metazoa; Chordata; Mammalia; Lagomorpha; Leporidae
Exons: 3
Source: RefSeq, a predicted model, not a curated record